GAUGAACGCUGGCGGCGUGCCUAAUACAUGCAAGUCGAGCGAACGGACGAGAAGCUUGCUUCUCUGAUGUUAGCGGCGGACGGGUGAGUAACACGUGGAUAACCUACCUAUAAGACUGGGAUAACUUCGGGAAACCGGAGCUAAUACCGGAUAAUAUUUUGAACCGCAUGGUUCAAAAGUGAAAGACGGUCUUGCUGUCACUUAUAGAUGGAUCCGCGCUGCAUUAGCUAGUUGGUAAGGUAACGGCUUACCAAGGCAACGAUGCAUAGCCGACCUGAGAGGGUGAUCGGCCACACUGGAACUGAGACACGGUCCAGACUCCUACGGGAGGCAGCAGUAGGGAAUCUUCCACAAUGGGCGAAAGCCUGACGGAGCAACGCCGCGUGAGUGAUGAAGGUCUUCGGGUUGUAAAACUCUGUUGUUAGGGAAGAAAACAUGUGUAAGUAACUGUGCACAUCUUGACGGUACCUAAACAGAAAGCCACGGCUAACUACGUG
RNAcentral lists this ribosomal RNA (497 nucleotides) under uncultured bacterium. RNAcentral describes it as "partial 16S ribosomal RNA". It matches the Rfam family "Bacterial small subunit ribosomal RNA", at positions 28 to 507 of the family's 1533-position model. The record is from RNAcentral.